RNAcentral lists this transfer RNA (69 nucleotides) under Gammarus nipponensis. Its description in RNAcentral is "tRNA-Val". Lineage: Eukaryota; Metazoa; Arthropoda; Malacostraca; Amphipoda; Gammaridae. The record is from RNAcentral.
AGUGACAUUAUUUUCGCUUACAAUGAAAAAGACCGUUAGGCACUUUUAUUUUGUUAGAUAUAUACAUUU